This 1341-nucleotide ribosomal RNA is filed under the name uncultured bacterium. RNAcentral's name for it is "partial 16S ribosomal RNA". It matches the Rfam family "Bacterial small subunit ribosomal RNA", at positions 28 to 1381 of the family's 1533-position model. The record is from RNAcentral.
GACGAACUCUGGCGGCGUGCUUAACACAUGCAAGUCGAACGGUAAGGCUCCAGCUUGCUGGGGUACACGAGUGGCGAACGGGUGAGUAACACGUGGGUGACCUGCCCUGCACUUCGGGAUAAGCCUGGGAAACUGGGUCUAAUACCGGAUAGGACCGCACCGUGAGGGUGUGGUGGAAAGUUUUUUCGGUGUGGGAUGGGCCCGCGGCCUAUCAGCUUGUUGGUGGGGUAAUGGCCUACCAAGGCGGCGACGGGUAGCCGGCCUGAGAGGGUGGACGGCCACAUUGGGACUGAGACACGGCCCAGACUCCUACGGGAGGCAGCAGUGGGGAAUAUUGCACAAUGGGCGGAAGCCUGAUGCAGCGACGCCGCGUGGGGGAUGACGGCCUUCGGGUUGUAAACUCCUUUCACCAUCGACGAAGGGUUUCUGACGGUAGAUGGAGAAGAAGCACCGGCUAACUACGUGCCAGCAGCCGCGGUAAUACGUAGGGUGCGAGCGUUGUCCGGAAUUACUGGGCGUAAAGAGCUCGUAGGUGGUUUGUCGCGUCGUCUGUGAAAUUCCGGGGCUUAACUCCGGGCGUGCAGGCGAUACGGGCAUAACUUGAGUACUGUAGGGGAGACUGGAAUUCCUGGUGUAGCGGUGAAAUGCGCAGAUAUCAGGAGGAACACCGGUGGCGAAGGCGGGUCUCUGGGCAGUAAUUGACGCUGAGGAGCGAAAGCAUGGGGAGCGAACAGGAUUAGAUACCCUGGUAGUCCAUGCCGUAAACGGUGGGCGCUAGGUGUGGGUUUCCUUCCACGGGAUCCGUGCCGUAGCUAACGCAUUAAGCGCCCCGCCUGGGGAGUACGGCCGCAAGGCUAAAACUCAAAGGAAUUGACGGGGGCCCGCACAAGCGGCGGAGCAUGUGGAUUAAUUCGAUGCAACGCGAAGAACCUUACCUGGGCUUGACAUAUACAGGAUCGCGCCAGAGAUGGUGUUUCCCUUGUGGCUUGUAUACAGGUGGUGCAUGGUUGUCGUCAGCUCGUGUCGUGAGAUGUUGGGUUAAGUCCCGCAACGAGCGCAACCCUUGUCUUAUGUUGCCAGCACGUUGUGGUGGGGACUCGUAAGAAACUGCCGGGGUUAACUCGGAGGAAGGUGGGGAUGACGUCAAAUCAUCAUGCCCCUUAUGUCCAGGGCUUCACACAUGCUACAAUGGUCGGUACAGUGGGUUGCCAGUCCGUGAGGGCGAGCUAAUCCCGCAAAGCCGGUCUCAGUUCGGAUCGGGGUCUGCAACUCGACCCCGUGAAGUCGGAGUCGCUAGUAAUCGCAGAUCAGCAACGCUGCGGUGAAUACGUUCCCGGGCCU